GUAGGGGGCGAGCGUUGUCCGGAUUCAUUGGGCGUAAAGAGCUCGUAGGCGGUUUGGCAAGUCAGGUGUGAAAACUCCAGGCUCAACCUGGAGAGGCCACCUGAUACUGCUAUGACUUGAGUCUGGUAGGGGAGCACGGAAUUCCUGGUGUAGCGGUGAAAUGCGCAGAUAUCAGGAGGAACACCGGUGGCGAAGGCGGUGUUCUGGGCCAGUACUGACGCUGAGGAGCGAAAGCGUGGGGAGCAAACAGGAUUAGAUACCCUGGUAGUCCACGCCGUAAACGUUGGGCACUAGGUGUGUGUGGUACCGACCCCACACGUGCCGCAGCUAACGCAAUAAGUGACCCGCCUGGGGAGUACGGCCGCAAGGUUG
RNAcentral lists this ribosomal RNA (372 nucleotides) under uncultured bacterium. RNAcentral describes it as "bacterial SSU rRNA". It matches the Rfam family "Bacterial small subunit ribosomal RNA", at positions 527 to 896 of the family's 1533-position model. The record is from RNAcentral.